CACGCACACACGCGCGGCAUAUCAAUAAGCGGAGGAAAAGAGACUAACAAGGAUUCCCUUAGUAACGGCGAGUGAAGCGGGAAGAGCUCAAAUUUGAAAUCUUCAAGGUUCUACCUUGACGAAUUGUAGUUUAUAGAAGUGUUUUCUGUUAGUGGAGUGGCAAAAGUUCUUUGGAAUAGGACAUCAUAGAGGGUGAGAAUCCCGUAUUUGGUCAUUCCUCCUAGCGUUGUGAUACACUUUCAGCGAGUCGGAUUGUUUGGGAAUGCAGUCCAAAAUGGGUGGUAAAUUUCAUCUAAAGCUAAAUAUUGGCGAGAGACCGAUAGCGAACAAGUACCGUGAGGGAAAGAUGAAAAGAACUUUGAAAAGAGAGUUAAACAGUACGUGAAAGUUGUCAAAAGGGAAGCGUUUGACACCAGUGUUGUUUUCUCGAAAAUCAAUUAAAAAUGAUGGGAUGUUGUGUUGUAUUGACUUUAUCAGCUUUCUGCACUUUUUUUCCUUAUCUUUUUUAAUGCACCUUUCGUUUAACAAGUCAACAUCAAUUUCUUUUGUUGUAAAAGAGGUCAUUGGAAGGUGGCUUUCUUUUCGGAGAAAGUGUUUAUAGCCUUUGGCUUCUGCAAUCGGAGAGAUUGAGGUCUGCAGCGUAGAUCCUUCGGGGUUAGAUACAUUUGUGCUAAGUUAUAGUCCUUUCAUAGACAACUUGUUGACUAUAAUCAAGUCAUGUAACUUACUCGCUUAUGUCAUUUUACCUACGCUUAGGAUGUUGAACUCUAUCACACACAG
This 780-nucleotide ribosomal RNA is filed under the name uncultured Neocallimastigales. RNAcentral describes it as "partial large subunit ribosomal RNA". It matches the Rfam family "Eukaryotic large subunit ribosomal RNA", at positions 16 to 628 of the family's 3401-position model. The record is from RNAcentral. Lineage: Eukaryota; Fungi; Neocallimastigomycota; Neocallimastigomycetes; Neocallimastigales.